GUUGGCCCAAAUUGAUAUAAGAUUCUUCUUCAACUGAACAUUAAUUCAUCGUCGACUAUCUCGUCUGCAGCUCCCAUGGCUUCCACUUCCCGCAACACUAGCCUACUAUAGAAAGUGCUGCAACUCUCUCUCUCUCUCUCUCUCUCUGAGAUUUCCACUCUGUCUUUACUGUCUUUCCUGGAGAAUCCAUUGAAGAGUUCCGAUAACACUAAGCUAGCGCUCACACCAAAUAAGCCACUGAGCAAGAGAUUAGAAUCUAGGAAGUUGAAUUGGACGCUUCCAUUCAGGCCCUGGAGGUUUGUUAUUUUUGCUUUGAUUUCAUUUGUUACUUUUGUGCAUUCUAGGUUGAUUUAUUGUAGUUUUUUUUUCUCCCUCUGAAUUGAUUGUAUUUGCCUGUUGUUUUUAUGUUGUGAAAUAGUGUAAUUACUGAUAAUGUGGAUGCAAUUACUUAAUUUUUUAAAAAAUCUAAUUCACAUUUAAGCAUGAUAUUCCAUAAGAAUGUGGAUGAUUUGCGUAGUGCUUACUUUUAUUGGUAAUUUUAGAGAUGGGUAAAAAUCAAUCAAGGAAUCAUGUGCUUUGCCUAUCAAUUCACACAAGGCAGGAAAAAUGAAAUUAUAAAGCAAGCUGAUCAAAUCAUCUUUAAUAGGCUUUCAUAUGGUCAAUGAAUUUACUUCAAGGAAUGUUCUUCACAUUGCUCUUCAGGAAAGCAAGGGUCAAAAAUACUCAAUACAAAAGCUCAAUAGUUAUAUUUGGAGAUGAUAAUUGGUACCGUGAAAUACGCACCGGCUGCACCACUAUAUAAACAGUUUUAGGCUCCAUACCUGUUUUGUUUGAGUUCAAGUGACACAGGAAACAAUCUUGAUUUCUGUAGGUUAGCAUUAUGUCCCCACAAUGCGCAUUCAUCGUUGAUUUAAUUCUGUUGAUACCAUACUAUCCUUUACCACCUGUUAAUAUGUAUAUGUCCUGUUCAUUAACAAACAUGAAACAUUUGCCUCACUCUAUAAUUUUAGUUUGAGAUUGGAAGUCCCUUCGGCAUGGAGGACGUGUUUGCUGAAGGGGUGGAGAAGGUGAACUUCGGCAGGCUACGCCAGCAGAAGAAGGAGGUGAACCUGACUAUGCACCGACAGGAGGUGCCUUUGGUGAACGUCUUCCUGGAAGGCGUGAAGAGUGAUCCUGAGGCUCUGGCAAGGACCCCAGCCUCUUCCUUCAUAGACCGGGCCCAAAAGACGAUCCUCACCUCUGCCUAUGUAAGUGUUAGGCCUUCUUGUGUGCAUUUUUUUUUUGGAUUAUUCUUGUUUGGGUUGACUGACGUUGUUUUGUUUUGCAGGCCUUUGGCGAGAUGUAUGUCAGCAUGGCCAAGGCGGACAAAGAGAUCCAGAGGCUGAAGAGGCGUGAUGAGCUGGCCAAGAGCAAGAUGGCGGAGGCGCAGGAGGCCAUCCGAGAGAAGAACUCCCUGCUGGUGCAAAAGGCGGCCCUGGCCAAGGAGGUGGAGGAGUUGAAGAGGUCGAAGGCCGAGGAGGUGGCUGCUGCCCGAGUCGAGGCGAUCGAGUCCUUCCGAACCUCAGAGGAGCUGAAGAGCUACAUCAUGGACCGACUAGUGGAUGAGCAGCUUCGCUGGGAAGAUAGGUUGGUUAGGUUCAACCCCUCGGUUGAGAUUAACUUUGACAUGAGUGGCGAGCCUCCUGCUGAUGCUAGCGUCUCGACACUAGAGGCGGAGCACGCCACUGAGGAUGCCCCUUCGACCGAGUCUUGAAGGCGUUGCCUUCGUUAUGUAUUCUAACUGAUGUACUAUAGUUAUUUUGUUGGAACACUUUGCCUUGCGCGGAGCAAGGUUAUUUAUUUUUGUUGUGUAUGAACACUUUUCCUUGCGUGGAGUAAGGUUGUUUUGAUUUAUGAUAUGAGACUUGGUA
RNAcentral lists this long non-coding RNA (1910 nucleotides) under Prunus dulcis (almond). RNAcentral describes it as "sRNA ncRNA". Lineage: Eukaryota; Viridiplantae; Streptophyta; Magnoliopsida; Rosales; Rosaceae. The record is from RNAcentral.